GAAUGGGAUAGGUGCUUAUAAAAGAGGCGUGAGGUAGCUUUUUUGCCACUUCUUUCAUGUGAGAAUACAGCUCAAAAGUACUAUCUGUGAGGAAUGGUCCCUCACCAGACAUUGAAUCUUCCGGUAACUUCAUUUUGGACUUUCCAAUCUCCAGAACUAUGAGAAAUAAAUUUCCUUGGUUUACAAUAUAAUCAAUGUUUAGUAUUUUGUUAAAGCAGACUGAACAGGCUAGGAUAUAUUAUCCUUAAUAUAAUCAUUCCAACAAGAGAAAAAAAGAGCAGAAUUGGUAGAGCGUAUAGGCAGUGGGGGUUCAGCAACCAUAAGAAUCAAAGUUAAAAUUUCAACCAGGAACUAUAAAAGAAAAAAAUGCUCUGGACACUUGUUACAAAUAGCAAGGAAACUGUAGUCCCAGCUACUCCAGAGGCUGAAGCAGAAAGGUCACUUGAGGCCACAGUUUGAAGCCAGUGUGGGCAACAUAACAAGACCCCAUUUCUAGAAAAAGAAAAAAAGAUAAGGAAGACUUCAUUCAAGACUCUUGCAAUAUGAAUCAAGACUGUUUCAAUAGAAGAAAGCAAUUAUAUUCAACUUCACUGAAAGAAAAGGUGGGAGAAUUUUAAAAUGUUAGAAUAA
This 630-nucleotide long non-coding RNA is filed under the name Pongo abelii (Sumatran orangutan). Its description in RNAcentral is "lincRNA". The record is from RNAcentral. Lineage: Eukaryota; Metazoa; Chordata; Mammalia; Primates; Hominidae.